UACAGAGGGUGCAAGCGUUAUUCGGAAUUACUGGGCGUAAAGCGUAUGUAGGUGGACAAUCAAGUCAGAUGUGAAAGCCCCGAGCUCAACUUGGGAAUUGCAUUUGAAACUGAUAGUCUUGAGAUUGGAAGAGGUAGGUAGAAUUCCUGGAGUAGAGGUGAAAUUCGUAGAUAUCAGGAGGAAUACCGGAGGCGAAGGCGGCUUACUGGUCCAAUACUGACACUGAGAUACGAGAGCGUGGGUAGCAAACAGGAUUAGAUACCCUGGUAGUCCACGCUGUAAACGAUGUUAACUAGCUGUUUGAGGAAUUGACCCCUUGAGUAGCACAGCAAACGCGUUAAGUUAACCGCCUGGGGAGUACGGUCGCAAGAUUAAA
Molecule: ribosomal RNA, 376 nt
Filed under: uncultured bacterium
Lineage: Bacteria
Description: bacterial SSU rRNA
Rfam family: Bacterial small subunit ribosomal RNA
Source: RNAcentral